AUUGAACGCUGGCGGCAUGCCUUACACAUGCAAGUCGAACGGCAGCACGGGUUCUUGCACCUGGUGGCGAGUGGCGAACGGGUGAGUAAUACAUCGGAACAUGUCCUGUAGUGGGGGAUAGCCCGGCGAAAGCCGGAUUAAUACCGCAUACGAACUACGGAUGAAAGCGGGGGACCGUCGGGCCUCGCGCUAUAGGGUUGGCCGAUGGCUGAUUAGCUAGUUGGUGGGGUAAAGGCCUACCAAGGCGACGAUCAGUAGCUGGUCUGAGAGGACGACCAGCCACACUGGGACUGAGACACGGCCCAGACUCCUACGGGAGGCAGCAGUGGGGAAUUUUGGACAAUGGGCGAAAGCCUGAUCCAGCAAUGCCGCGUGUGUGAAGAAGGCCUUCGGGUUGUAAAGCACUUUUGUCCGGAAAGAAAUCCUUGGCCCUAAUACGGUCGGGGGAUGACGGUACCGGAAGAAUAAGCACCGGCUAACUACGUG
RNAcentral lists this ribosomal RNA (486 nucleotides) under uncultured bacterium. RNAcentral describes it as "partial 16S ribosomal RNA". It matches the Rfam family "Bacterial small subunit ribosomal RNA", at positions 30 to 507 of the family's 1533-position model. The record is from RNAcentral.